GAAGAAGUUUUGAUCGAACAGUGGUGAUUCGGGAUGCAAAUAUAAACGAUAGGAAGGAAGGAAGUUGUUUGGAAAGGGAACUCGAACGUUUGUACUCUCCAUAAUGGUAUUCAUAAAUAAGUGGCGAUAUUGCGGCCGUUCCGUAGCGAGGUAAUUAAGUUGCUCGAGUUGAACGAGCAAUUUCGGGGAAAGUAAAUAUUCAAAUGCUAUUAUCUCGAAGAGACGCUUCUACAAUUUCGUAUUCGCGGGAAGGAAUAAGGAGGAAUAAAAAGUAAGUCUACUUUGCAUAUCGAGACACCAUUCGUCUCUCGUAAUAAAUAAAUUCUUCUCCUAGAUUUUUAGAAAUUUCUUUCCUACGAAAGGAAAUGAAUUUGAAACACGUGAAGAGAAUUAUAAUAAUUUUUUCGAUUCCACGGAUUUUUCGAUUCACUUUUUAAACGAAGAAAAAGUUCCUUUUGGUUUUCAUUCGCAAUUUUCGGGAUUUUCACAAUACAAGAACGUGAAUCGAAAUGCACGUUCGAAAUGGAAUGAAAGAACGAAUUAGCCAGUCAAUGGAGGAACAAUUAAACGAGGACGUGGAGGAGCGCGGCAAAUUUUUCUUACCGGUUCGCGGAAGACGGUACUCGUUAGGCCAGCGAACUAGAGCGAAAACUUCAAAAACUGAUUUCGUUUCCCUAUCCAUCUUCGUCUUCUUCUCCGCCUAGAACCGAUUUCACGAGAUGAGAGCAGCUGUACGAUACUUUUUUUUUUUUUAAACGAAUAAUAUAAAACUCCGGUACAAUGAUUAAUAUAUACCAAAUUGUGUCGUUGUAAUAUGUGUGUCAUCUACGUAGAAAUACGUAUCCAAUAUUUCAUAGAUUAAAAUCCGGAAGAGAAUUU
Apis dorsata (giant honeybee) is the source of this 879-nucleotide long non-coding RNA. RefSeq lists it as uncharacterized. The record is from RefSeq and is a predicted model, not a curated record. Lineage: Eukaryota; Metazoa; Arthropoda; Insecta; Hymenoptera; Apidae. The transcript is spliced from 2 exons.